Molecule: ribosomal RNA, 301 nt
Filed under: uncultured bacterium
Lineage: Bacteria
Description: partial 16S ribosomal RNA
Rfam family: Bacterial small subunit ribosomal RNA
Source: RNAcentral
CAGCAGCCGCGGUAAUACGUAGGUGGCAAGCGUUGUCCGGAAUUAUUGGGCGUAAAGGGCUCGCAGGCGGUUUCUUAAGUCUGAUGUGAAAGCCCCCGGCUCAACCGGGGAGGGUCAUUGGAAACUGGGAAACUUGAGUGCAGAGGAGGAGAGCGGAAUUCCACGUGUAGCGGUGAAAUGCGUAGAGAUGUGGAGGAACACCAGUGGCGAAGGCGACUAUCUGGUCUGUAACUGACGCUGAGGAGCGAAAGCGUGGGGAGCGAACAGGAUUAGAUACCCGCGUAGUCCCUGUCUCUUAUAC